AUGGGCGCAAGCCUGAUGCAGCCAUGCCGCGUGUGUGAAGAAGGCCUUCGGGUUGUAAAGCACUUUCAGCGGGGAGGAAGGCGGUGAGGUUAAUAACCUCAUCGAUUGACGUUACCCGCAGAAGAAGCACCGGCUAACUCCGUGCCAGCAGCCGCGGUAAUACGGAGGGUGCAAGCGUUAAUCGGAAUUACUGGGCGUAAA
This 201-nucleotide ribosomal RNA is filed under the name Klebsiella pneumoniae. RNAcentral describes it as "partial 16S ribosomal RNA". It matches the Rfam family "Bacterial small subunit ribosomal RNA", at positions 371 to 564 of the family's 1533-position model. Lineage: Bacteria; Pseudomonadati; Pseudomonadota; Gammaproteobacteria; Enterobacterales; Enterobacteriaceae. The record is from RNAcentral.